This 461-nucleotide ribosomal RNA is filed under the name Biomphalaria glabrata. Its description in RNAcentral is "partial large subunit ribosomal RNA". It matches the Rfam family "Bacterial large subunit ribosomal RNA", at positions 1797 to 2619 of the family's 2925-position model. Lineage: Eukaryota; Metazoa; Mollusca; Gastropoda; Planorbidae. The record is from RNAcentral.
CGCCUGUUUUAUCAAAAACAUAGUUUAAGGAAAUAAUCUUAAAUGUAUUCUGCCCAGUGAUUUUUUUUUAAAUGGCCGCAGUACCUUGACUGUGCUAAGGUAGCAUAAUCAAUUGGCUUCUAAUUAAAGUCUGGAAUGAAAGGAAAAAUGAGGUAAUUCUGUCUUAAAGAAUUUUUUUUGAAUUUAUUUAAAUGAUGAAAAUAUCAUUUUUUAGAAAAAAGACGAGAAGACCCUUAGAGUUUUCAAUUUUUUUUUGUUGGGGCGACAAGUAAACAAUUAAACUUUACCAAUAUUAUAAAUCGAUUUUUUAUAAGAAUAAUUAAACUACCUUAGGGAUAACAGCAUUAUAUAUUUUUUAUGAUUGUGACCUCGAUGUUGGACUAGGAACUUUAUGGCUAGCCGUCAAAAAAGAUUUGUUCUGUUCGAACAAUAUUAUCCUACGUGAUCUGAGUUCAGACCGG